UGGGGAAUCUUGCACAAUGGGGGAAACCCUGAUGCAGCGACGCCGCGUGAGCGAUGAAGCCCUUCGGGGUGUAAAGCUCUUUCGACGGGAACGAUAAUGACGGUACCCGGAGAAGAAGCUGCGGCUAACUACGUGCCAGCAGCCGCGGUAAUACGUAGGCAGCAAGCGUUGUUCGGAGUUACUGGGCGUAAAGAGUACGUAGGCGGUUUGCUAAGUCUGGUGUGAAAUCUCCUGGCUUAACUGGGAGGGUGCGCUAGAUACUGGCAGGCUUGAGUAUGGGAGAGGAGAGUGGAAUUCCUGGUGUAGCGGUGAAAUGCGUAGAUAUCAGGAGGAACGCCGGUGGUGUAGACGGCUCUCUGGACCAUUACUGACGCUGAGGUACGAAAGCGUGGGUAGCAAACAGG
RNAcentral lists this ribosomal RNA (404 nucleotides) under uncultured bacterium. RNAcentral's name for it is "bacterial SSU rRNA". It matches the Rfam family "Bacterial small subunit ribosomal RNA", at positions 355 to 776 of the family's 1533-position model. The record is from RNAcentral. RNAcentral also lists the same sequence under 1 other name.